This 274-nucleotide ribosomal RNA is filed under the name uncultured bacterium. RNAcentral describes it as "partial 16S ribosomal RNA". It matches the Rfam family "Bacterial small subunit ribosomal RNA", at positions 523 to 796 of the family's 1533-position model. The record is from RNAcentral.
AUCCGAGAGGUGCAAGCGUUGUUCGGAUUGACUGGGCGUAAAGCGCGCGUAGGCGGAUCCGUAAGUCGGAUGUGAAAGCCCCAGGCUUAACCUGGGAACUGCAUCCGAAACUACGGAUCUUGAAUGCUUGAGAGGUUGGUGGAAUUCCAGGUGUAGGAGUGAAAUCCGUAGAUAUCUGGAGGAACACCGGAGGCGAAGGCGGCCAACUGGCUCGAUACUGACGCUGAGGUGCGAAAGCGUGGGGAGCAAACAGGAUUAGAAACCCCGGUAGUCC